RNAcentral lists this ribosomal RNA (429 nucleotides) under Bacteroidota bacterium. Its description in RNAcentral is "Bacteroidetes bacterium partial 16S ribosomal RNA". It matches the Rfam family "Bacterial small subunit ribosomal RNA", at positions 355 to 776 of the family's 1533-position model. The record is from RNAcentral. Lineage: Bacteria; Pseudomonadati; Bacteroidota.
UAGGGAAUCUUCCGCAAUGGACGCAAGUCUGACGGAGCAACGCCGCGUGAGUGAAGAAGGAUUUCGGUUCGUAAAACUCUGUUGUUAGAGAAGAACAGCGCAUAGAGUAACUGUUAUGCGUGUGACGGUAUCUAACCAGAAAGCCACGGCUAACUACGUGCCAGCAGCCGCGGUAAUACGUAGGUGGCAAGCGUUGUCCGGAUUUAUUGGACGUAAAGCGAGCGCAGGCGGUCAAUUAAGUCUGAUGUGAAAGCCCCCGGCUCAACCGGGGAGGGUCAUUGGAAACUGGUUGACUUGAGUGCAGAAGAGGAGAGUGGAAUUCCAUGUGUAGCGGUGAAAUGCGUAGAUAUAUGGAGGAACACCAGUGGCGAAGGCGACUCUCUGGUCUGUAACUGACGCUGAGGCUCGAAAGCGUGGGUAGCAAACAGG